This 449-nucleotide ribosomal RNA is filed under the name uncultured bacterium. Its description in RNAcentral is "partial 16S ribosomal RNA". It matches the Rfam family "Bacterial small subunit ribosomal RNA", at positions 29 to 523 of the family's 1533-position model. The record is from RNAcentral.
AGCGAACGCUGGCGGCAGGCCUAACACAUGCAAGUCGAACGAAGUCUUCGGACUUAGUGGCGGACGGGUGAGUAACACGUGGGAACGUACCUUUUGGUUCGGAACAACUCAGGGAAACUUGAGCUAAUACCGGAUGAGCCCUUAGGGGGAAAGAUUUAUCGCCGAAAGAGCGGCCCGCGUUAGAUUAGCUAGUUGGUGAGGUAAAGGCUCACCAAGGCUACGAUCUAUAGCUGGUCUGAGAGGAUGAUCAGCCACACUGGGACUGAGACACGGCCCAGACUCCUACGGGAGGCAGCAGUGGGGAAUCUUGCGCAAUGGGCGAAAGCCUGACGCAGCCAUGCCGCGUGAAUGAUGAAGGUCUUAGGAUUGUAAAAUUCUUUUACCAGGGACGAUAAUGACGGUACCUGGAGAAAAAGCCCCGGCUAACUUCGUGCCAGCAGCCGCCGCCG